This 861-nucleotide ribosomal RNA is filed under the name uncultured bacterium. RNAcentral describes it as "bacterial SSU rRNA". It matches the Rfam family "Bacterial small subunit ribosomal RNA", at positions 590 to 1451 of the family's 1533-position model. The record is from RNAcentral.
UGGAGUAAAAGGNUAUGGCUCAACCAUAGUGUGNUCUGGAAACUGUCUGACUUGAGUGCAGAAGGGGAGAGUGGAAUUCCAUGUGUAGCGGUGAAAUGCGUAGAUAUAUGGAGGAACACCAGUGGCGAAAGCGGCUCUCUGGUCUGUCACUGACGCUGAGGCUCGAAAGCGUGGGUAGCGAACAGGAUUAGAUACCCUGGUAGUCCACGCCGUAAACGAUGAGUGCUAGGUGUUAGGCCCUUUCCGGGGCUUAGUGCCGGAGCUAACGCAAUAAGCACUCCGCCUGGGGAGUACGACCGCAAGGUUGAAACUCAAAGGAAUUGACGGGGGCCCGCACAAGCGGUGGAGCAUGUGGUUUAAUUCGAAGCAACGCGAAGAACCUUACCAGGUCUUGACAUCCCGAUGCUAUUCUUAGAGAUAGGAAGUUACUUCGGUACAUCGGAGACAGGUGGUGCAUGGUUGUCGUCAGCUCGUGUCGUGAGAUGUUGGGUUAAGUCCCGCAACGAGCGCAACCCUUAUUGUUAGUUGCCAUCAUUAAGUUGGGCACUCUAGCGAGACUGCCGGUAAUAAACCGGAGGAAGGUGGGGAUGACGUCAAAUCAUCAUGCCCCUUAUGACCUGGGCUACACACGUGCUACAAUGGUCGGUACAACGAGUUGCGAGCCGGUGACGGCAAGCUAAUCUCUGAAAGCCGAUCUCAGUUCGGAUUGGAGGCUGCAACUCGCCUCCAUGAAGUCGGAAUCGCUAGUAAUCGCGGAUCAGCACGCCGCGGUGAAUACGUUCCCGGGCCUUGUACACACCGCCCGUCACACCACGAGAGUUUGUAACACCCGAAGUCGGUGAGGUAACCUUUUAGGGNCCA